Molecule: ribosomal RNA, 257 nt
Filed under: uncultured bacterium
Lineage: Bacteria
Description: partial 16S ribosomal RNA
Rfam family: Bacterial small subunit ribosomal RNA
Source: RNAcentral
CAGAGGGUGCGAGCGUUAAUCGGAAUUACUGGGCGUAAAGCGAGUGUAGGUGGCUCAUUAAGUCACAUGUGAAAUCCCCGGGCGUUAACCUGGGAACUGCAUGUGAUACUGGUGGUGCUAGAAUAUGUGAGAGGGAAGUAGAAUUCCAGGUGUAGCGGUGAAAUAGCGUAGAGAUCUGGAGGAAUACCGAUGGCGAAGGCAGCUUCCUGGCAUAAUAUUGACACUGAGAUUCGAAAGCGUGGGUAGCAAACAGGAUU